RNAcentral lists this ribosomal RNA (448 nucleotides) under uncultured bacterium. Its description in RNAcentral is "bacterial SSU rRNA". It matches the Rfam family "Bacterial small subunit ribosomal RNA", at positions 328 to 793 of the family's 1533-position model. The record is from RNAcentral.
CAUCGAGACUCCUACGGGAGCAGCAGUGGGAAUAUUGGACAAUGGGCGCAAGCCUGAUCCAGCCAUGCCGCGUGAGUGAUGAAGGCCCUAGGGUUGUAAAGCUCUUUCAGCGAGGAGGAUAAUGACGUUACUCGCAGAAGAAGCCCCGGCUAACUUCGUGCCAGCAGCCGCGGUAAUACGAAGGGGCUAGCGUUGUUCGGAAAUCACUGGGCGUAAAAGCGCACGUAGGCGGACUUUUAAGUCAGGGUGAAAAUCCCGGGCUCAACCCCGGAACUGCCUUUGAUACUGGAAGUCUUGAGUCCGAGAGAGGUGAGUGGAACUCCGAGUGUAGAGGUGAAAUUCGUAGAUAUUCGGAAGAACACCAGUGGCGAAGGCGGCUCACUGGCUCGGUACUGACGCUGAGGUGCGAAAGCGUGGGGACGCAAACAGGAUUAGACUACCCUGGUAG